AUUAUUCUCUGCUUCAAAAAUUGGUGAACAAUUUCUUUCCAGACUUCACAAUGUACAUGAGCAAAACUUCUACAGCCAACUGUGAAAUAUGACCAACUGUUCCGAAAGCUUAAACACUUUCAUCGAGUCGCAAAAUGCUGUACAAAAUUGUGGAAUAUUGUCAACUGUAUUCGUCGUAGGCGUUGUAUUUGCAGGGGCUUUCUUUGGACUGCUGAUUGGUAUUUUCUUUGGUAGGAAAUGUCAUUCUAAUACCGAAAGAAUCCAAUCGGCAAACGGACAGAAAACCCACACAUAUGAGGAAGAAAUGCGAUUCCGGUAUCACAAUUACCAGGACAUGAAUAGGCGGUGCUCACAAACAUCUGGAAAUAGCAUGGACAAUAUCGGCAUGUAUGAAUCUAUAGAAGAGGUUGAAAUUCUCCCCAAUGAUAUCAGAGCGGAAGUGGAAUCUAUAGGAGAGAUUGAAAUUCUUCCCAAGGAUAUCAAAGCGGAAAUGGUUCAGGACACCCUAUCGUUUAAUACGAAGCUAUGAGAAUCUAACCGUGGGAAACAUUGUUAUUUUGAUCAAUGUCAUUUAACACAUACUACAUUUAUACUUUCCUUGCUUAGGUGUGUACAGAUUUUAUGUAACGAUCUUAUCGUCCUUGAUUACGUGUGUACAGAUUUUAUUUAACGGUCUUAUCUUUCCUUGAUUACGUGUGUACAGAUUUUGUGGCCUUCAAUUCAACAUUUAGAUAUAUCGACGACGUUUUAUAUAAUAACAAUAAUAACCUUCAUUCAUAUGUCGAUUCGAUAGGUGUAUAUCCCUGUGAACUCCAAUGAAAAGACACCACAGAGUCGUACAUUUCUGCUUCAUACUUAGAUAUUUUAUUGAAAGUAGAUACUAACUGCAAAUUAACUACCCAACUUUAUGACAAACAGGAAGAUUUCAGCUUCUCCUUCGUCACUUCCCAUAUUUAUGUAGCAAUAUUCCGUUAACACCUGCAUAUAGUGUUUAUAUCUCUCAACUGAUACGCAAGAACUUGUUCUGUGUAUGGUCAGUUUUUAAAUCAAGGCAGGCUACUGACAAACAAGUUGAUGGUGCAGGGGUUUCAACAGUCUCGUUUAUAGUCAUCAUUUCACAAAUUCUAUGGUCGUUAUAACGAUCUAGUUUGCCAAUACAACCAUCAUUGGGUACAAUGCUGUUUGACGUGUUACAACCCGUUGUUAGAGCGUUCUUGGUACAUUGAUUUGGACUACGGAUAACUCCCGUUUCCCUGAUCAAGGUAUAGGGCUUGCGGCGGAUGUGACCGGUCGACAGGGGAUGCUUACUCCUUUGGUGUGUCCAAUUCGCUAUUUUGUAUUGCUUAUAGGAGUUCUGAGAUUGACCACUGUUCGUUAUCUUCAACUUCCAUUUAACAAUAUUAUCUUUUUUCAUGAGUUGUGUAGCCUCCGCAACCGAGUGGUUAGAGCAUCGCGCUCAAAAUCACAUGGCCUCUCACCUCUAGUAGGCGCGCCUCUCUCCGGGUUCAAAUCCCGCUCGCGCCUGUAAAUGAGAAAGUCUCCCACUUUACUUUCGGAACAUAGUGUCUGGGUUCUCUCUUCCAACAAUUAAAACUGGGUGCCACAAUAAAACUGAAAAAUUGUUGAGUGUGGCGAAAAACAGCAAAACAAACAAUCAAUCAAUUGAUUAGUUGUGUAUAGUGUAUAGUUUGAUACACUAUACUAUAUAGUUGUGUAUAGAUAUUAUUUGAUAAUUUUAUGUCCCUUGAUUAUUGUGUAAAGAUCGUAUUUGGGAAUCUUAUCUCCCCUGAUUAGGUGUGUAGAUAUCUUAUUUAACAAUCUUCUCUCCCCUGAUUAGUUGUGUAUACUGUUUAUCUUAUUUAACAAUGUCCUCUCCCCUGAUUAGGUGUGUAUAUAUGUAAAACUUAUACGGUACCAAUUUUGAUUCACCAGAUGCACAUUUCGACAAAUAAUGUCUCUUCAGUGAUGCUCAACCAAAAUGUUUGAAAUCCGAAAUAACAAUGAAGUUUUAGAGCUAUUAUAGCCAAAAACAGCGUGCCAAAAAAAGUGCAGUCAAUUUCGUUUAAGGAUAAGAGCUAUGCAUGAGGGAGAUAAUCCUUAAUUAUCUUAUUUAACAAUCUCCUCUCCCUUGAUUCUCUUUCCUGAUUAGGUAAAACUUAUACGGUACCAAUUUUGAUGCACCAGAUGCGCAUUUCGACAAAUAAUGUCUUUUCAGUGAUGCUCAACCGAACUGUUUGAAAUCCGAAAUAACUAUGAAGCGUUAGAGCUAAAUAUAGCCAAAAACAGCGUGCCAAAAAAGUGGAGCCAAAUUCAUCCAAGGAUAAGAGCUAUGCAUGAGGGAGAUAAUCCUUAAUUUUGAAACGAAUUUCUAAAUUUUAUAACAGCAAUUAAAUAUACAUCCAUAUUUUCAAGCUAGUAACGAAGUACUUAGCUACUGGGCUGUAGAGACCCUAGGUGUGUACAUAUAUUAUUUAACAAUCUUCUCUCCCCUGAUUAGGUGUGUAUAUAUCUUAUUUAACAAUCUCCUCUCCCCUGAUUAGGUGUGUACAUAUCUUAUUUAACUAUCUUCUCUCCCCUUAUUAGAUGUGUAUAUAUCUCAUUUUACAAUCUCCUCUCCCCUGACUAGGUGUCUACAUAUUUUAUUUAACAAUCUUCUCUCCCCUGAUUAGGUGUGUAUAUAUUUUACUUAACAAUCUCCUCUCCCCUGAUUAGGUGUGUACAUAUAUUUUAUUUAACAAUCUUCUCUCCCCUAAUUAGGUGUGUAUAUAUCUUAUUUAACAAUCUCCUCCCCCCUGAUUAGGUGUGUACAUAUAUUAUUUAACAAUCUUCUCUCCCCUGAUUAGUUGUGUAAAUAUCUUAUUUAACAAUCUGCUCCCCCCCUGAUUAGGUGUCUACAUAUUUUAUUUAACAAUCUUCUCUCCCCUGAUUAGGUGUGUAUAUAUUUUACUUAACAAUCUCCUCUCCCCUGAUUAGGUGUGUACAUAUAUUAUUUAACAAUCUUCUCUCCCCUGAUUAGUUGUGUAAAUAUCUUAUUUAACAAUUUCCUCUCCCCUGAUUAGGUGUGUAGAUAUCUUAUUUAACAAUCUUCUCUCCCCUGAUUAGUUGUGUAUACUGUUUAUCUUAUUUAACAAUGUCCUCUCCCCUGAUUAGGUGUGUAUAUAUGUAAAACUUAUACGGUACCAAUUUUGAUGCACCAGAUGCGCAUUUCGACAAAUAAUGUCUUUUCAGUGACGCUCAACCGAACUGUUUGAAAUCCGAAAUAACUAUGAAGCGUUAGAGCUAAAUAUAGCCAAAAACAGCGUGCCAAAAAAGUGGAGCCAAAUUCAUCCAAGGAUAAGAGCUCUGCAUGAGGGAGAUAAUCCUUAAUUUUGAAACGAAUUUCUAAAUUUUAUAACAGCAAUUAAAUAUACAUCCGUAUUUUCAAGCUAGUAACGAAGUACUUAGCUACUGGGCUGUAGAGACCCUAGGUGUGUACAUAUAUUAUUUAACAAUCUUCUCUCCCCUGAUUAGGUGUGUAUAUAUCUUAUUUAACAAUCUCCUCUCCCCUGAUUAGGUGUGUACAUAUCUUAUUUAACUAUCUUCUCUCCCCUGAUUAGAUGUGUAUAUAUCUCAUUUAACAAUCUCCUCUCCCCUGACUAGGUGUGUACAUAUAUUUUAUUUAACAAUCUUCUCUCCCCUAAUUAGGUGUGUAUAUAUCUUAUUUAACAAUCUCCUCCCCCCUGAUUAGGUGUGUACAUAUAUUAUUUAACAAUCUUCUCUCCCCUGAUUAGUUGUGUAAAUAUCUUAUUUAACAAUCUCCUCCCCCCUGAUUAGGUGUCUACAUAUUUUAUUUAACAAUCUUCUCUCCCCUGAUUAGGUGUGUAUAUAUUUUACUUAACAAUCUCCUCUCCCCUGAUUAGGUGUGUACAUAUCUUAUUUAACAAUUUUCUCUCCCCUGAUUAGUUGUGUAUACUGUAUAUCUUAUUUAUCAAUCGUAUCUCCCCUGAUUAGGUGUGUACAUAUCUUCUUUAACAAUCUCCUCUCCCCUGAUUAGGUGUGUACAUAUCUUAUUUAACAAUCUUAUCACCCCUGAUUAGGUAUGUACAUAUCUUAUUUAACAAUCUUAUCUCCCUUGAUUAGGUGUGUACAGCUUCAUCUCCAUUUGUACUGCAACAUGUUGAACAAACCUUAAACUAUCAUUUAAACAUUGAAUGCUUUAAUAGACAAUGAAUAUUCGUUCGUUAUUCAUUCUCGUGGGUUUUAAAAUUUACCAGGUGCCAGUUAAGAAUGUAAAUUUCAUUUAUGAAAAUGCAUGAGAAUAUGAACUGCGAUGCUUACGCCCAGCAUACAUGUACUUCACAAAGCAUUGACGCUUCAUGAAAAAGAGUUUGUCAGCAUGAACCUG
Molecule: long non-coding RNA, 4384 nt
Organism: Ostrea edulis (European flat oyster)
Lineage: Eukaryota; Metazoa; Mollusca; Bivalvia; Ostreida; Ostreidae
Exons: 4
Source: RefSeq, a predicted model, not a curated record